CCCUGAUCUCCCAAAAUUUGGUCGAGAUCUAACAACUCCUUUUUUUUUUUUUUUUUUUUGAGUUUUACUUGCUUCCAACACAAGGAAGGCAAGUUUUUCCUGCUUCCAUGAUGAUGGAAGCGAACCAGUUCAAUUCCAGCAGGAAAGAUGAGUUUUUUUUCCCCUGCUUCUAGGAUAGUAGACAGCAGUCUUUAUUUAGCCUGAGACCCAUCCCUAGGUAAGUAACUGAAUUGGGGUUUGUCGUGGCUAAAGAUUAACAACCAGCUGGUGUUAAUUUGCUUACACUUCAGCCUGAGACCCAUUCCUAGGUAAGUAACUGAAUUGGGGUUUGUCUUGGCUAAAGAUUAACAACCAGCUGGUGUUAAUUUCUGCUUACACUUAACAGCACUCACAUUAGAAACAACUUUUGGUGCCGCAAAAGAAAUAGCACUCGAACAGAAAUUUUCUCAGCAAGGCAAAUUUACUUCUGCAGAAGGGUGUAGCUUGCACCAGUCAUGAUCACAAGAGCACACCGAGUGGGAUAGGGUGUAGGGGUUCAGUUAGGAUGGUGGGAAAAAUUGUAAAAUAAACACAAACCUUCUUGGAAAGCUGGAAGGUUUUUGCAAAAGCCUCAGGAUAGAGUUAUGGCUGACAGCAGCCUAAUCCUCCUUGAGCUAUAGCAAGGGUAAUUAACAUAGGAAUGUAGAGGAGUCUGUCUAAAUAGCUUGUUGACUCAUGUGGUCCUAAGACUAACCUUUGACCAUCUGCAGGUGCAUGAUUGCUCUCUACAUGGUAAUUACCUUCUAGUGGUGUUUACUUGAGAAUUUUGUCAUUUAAUGUGUGCCAUAUAAGUGACAGAGGGCCAGCGAGUGGGGGCCAUGGUUGCAAGUCUUUACAACACUCUCUUGGGAGUCUGUAAAUCGCCUGAACUCUCAGAAUAAUAUCUGUAUCAGGGUAUUUAUUCAUCUGUUGUUGGGUCAGGGUCUGCAGGAUGGACCCCUGCAGCUGGUGCCCUGUGUGAGGAUCACUACAAAGGAAGCACGAAGGACCCCCUGAAAAUGAAGGGAACUGCAGCAUGGGAUGCAACAUUCUUGGAAGAACUGAGAAGAGUACUCACUCAAAUUACCUUCUGUGUGGUUUCUAUGGUUUCUCCACACUGGUUGAGAAAGUUCUGAAAACCGCAAUCCAGAGGAUGGAAUAGUAGGAAGUCAGAUCCUGAGAGUCCUGGGGACCCUGAGGAACAAGCUUGCUCACAUCUGUGUUUUGUGAGCAGGAAAGGCUGAACACGAAGGCCCUGGGCCGAGCUGCAGAAGUCUCUCCUCUAAGAUCUGUUGGCAGAGGUAACAGGUAAGAAAUGACAGAUUUCUCCUUGUAAGGAAGUCCCAAUCUCUCCUCCUCAACCCCAAGUUUCAUUUUUCUCAUUCAUCUCUCCAUUUCUGUUCAACAAUGCUUUGCAUGUAAUUGACACUAUACAAAUGCUUGUUGAAUGAACAAAUUAAUACACAAAAAUAUCAAUGAAUAAAUGCCAACCCCAGAAAUAUCUGGUUAUGCCUGUUUGAAUAGUCCUAGAGACUUUCAUCCAUGUGACUGGCUUACUGUGAACCAUCAAUGACAAUGUAGCACAAAUGCUAGCGGGAUACGGAGGAGUCUUUUCCUGUUAGAGCUGGAAGAGGCCCUAGAGCUUAUCAUAUCCCAAAGUCCCAAACCAGUGAACGCUAGCAGAGUAUACUUAUUUACCAUGCAUAAUCUUGUUGCUGCUGAUGUUGACUGUUACUUUGGAAUUAGUUACCAACAUAGAAAAAUUAGGAGACUUCACAAAAAGUGAUUCAGGGGCUGUUUGGGGAAAAAAACUAGAAAAUAGCUACAGAAAAUAGCCUGGGCUGACUAGUUGCUGCCCCUCUUGCAUUCUAUUUUAUUAGUGUAUUUAUUCUUCUUGGUCUUCUUUCAAGAAUGGCUCCCAUUUUAGAUGGAGUGUGUUCUAUUCAUUUAAUGCAGCUCCCAACCACCCCCAGUGCACCUGAUGCAUAGACAGGACCUGUCCAGCCCUGGUAGCAGUUGCAUUUGUGAUGCCUAAUUUAAUCCUAUGCCACUCCACUACCCUUUUUUCAAUAAGAAAACUGAGGCCCACUCAAUUUGCCUCCCUAAAAAUGUGUCUGAUUUGGGUCUCAUUCCUACAUUGUCUUCCAUCCACUGCCAUAGUAAACACUGAAAAAUACAGAUGUAACAAGGUCACCCUUCUGCUUAAAAUCCUUCGGUGGCUCCUUACUAGUUUGGAAGAUCCCAGUCUUCUUGUCAUGGCUAAUGAGACCUUUCAAUGCAAAGCCUACUUUACCAGCCUUAACUCUGACAACGCUAAUAAGCCAGCCACACCAAACAUCUUCAAGUUAUUUUACUCUGCCAUAUCGUUUUGUGCCUCACUAUCUCUGUCUAUGCUGAUCUCUUUGCCUGGAAUGCCCAUCCUUAUCAUUUGUCUGACAAACUCAUGCACAUUCGGCACUUAGCUCAGGCACCUGUGAUUCUGCCCUGCCAAUGCCUCCACCCUCCUCCUACUUCUCCUCCUCCUCCAUCAUCUCUGAGCCAUAGGGCUAAGCUCACACCUCUAUUUAUAGCUCUUAGAACAGUCAGUUAUAACUUCCCUACUAGAGUAUGUGCUCCUUGAGGGAAGAGACCACAGACCAUUCAUUUUUAUCUUCUGCAUUUUUUCCCAGUGUUCAAUAAAUGUUGAAUAAACAAAUGAUUAUCUUGCUCCAGGUGACUUUGUUAGUGACCUAGCUGUGAGAAAA
RNAcentral lists this long non-coding RNA (2762 nucleotides) under Homo sapiens (human). RNAcentral's name for it is "HSALNT0121524". Lineage: Eukaryota; Metazoa; Chordata; Mammalia; Primates; Hominidae. The record is from RNAcentral.